Molecule: transfer RNA, 110 nt
Filed under: Methanomassiliicoccales archaeon RumEn M1
Lineage: Archaea; Methanobacteriati; Thermoplasmatota; Thermoplasmata; Methanomassiliicoccales
Rfam family: tRNA
About the family: Transfer RNA (tRNA) molecules are approximately 80 nucleotides in length. Their secondary structure includes four short double-helical elements and three loops (D, anti-codon, and T loops).
Source: Rfam by way of RNAcentral
CCCGCCUUAGCUCAGUCUGGCUAGAGCGGCUGACUGUAGUGGGUUACCGGUCUUUCCGGUUCUCAGCCGCCGAUAUCAGCAGGCCCCCGGUUCAAAUCCGGGAGGUGGGA